UACGGAGGGUGCAAGCGUUAUCCGGAUUCACUGGGUUUAAAGGGUGCGUAGGUGGGUUGGUAAGUCAGUGGUGAAAUCCCAGAGCUUAACUUGGGAACUGCCAUUGAUACUAUCUGUCUUGAAUACCGUGGAGGUGAGCGGAAUAUGUCAUGUAGCGGUGAAAUGCUUAGAUAUGACAUAGAACACCAAUUGCGAAGGCAGCUCACUACACGAAUAUUGACACUGAGGCACGAAAGCGUGGGGAUCAAACAGG
This 253-nucleotide ribosomal RNA is filed under the name uncultured bacterium. RNAcentral's name for it is "partial 16S ribosomal RNA". It matches the Rfam family "Bacterial small subunit ribosomal RNA", at positions 524 to 776 of the family's 1533-position model. The record is from RNAcentral.